RNAcentral lists this ribosomal RNA (253 nucleotides) under uncultured prokaryote. RNAcentral's name for it is "partial 16S ribosomal RNA". It matches the Rfam family "Bacterial small subunit ribosomal RNA", at positions 524 to 776 of the family's 1533-position model. The record is from RNAcentral.
UACGUAGGGUGCAGGCGUUAAUCGGAAUUACUGGGCGUAAAGCGUGCGCAGGCGGUUUCUUAAGUCAGAUGUGAAAGCCCCGGGCUUAACCUGGGAACUGCGUUUGAAACUGGGAGACUAGAGUGUGGCAGAGGGGGGUGGAAUUCCACGUGUAGCAGUGAAAUGCGUAGAUAUGCGGAGGAACACCAGUGGCGAAGGCGGCUCACUGGCCCGGAACUGACGCUGAGACGCGAAAGCGUGGGGAGCAAACAGG